RNAcentral lists this ribosomal RNA (253 nucleotides) under uncultured prokaryote. RNAcentral describes it as "partial 16S ribosomal RNA". It matches the Rfam family "Bacterial small subunit ribosomal RNA", at positions 524 to 776 of the family's 1533-position model. The record is from RNAcentral.
UACGAAGGGAGCUAGCGUUGUUCAGAAUUACUGGGCGUAAAGGGCGCGUAGGCGGUCCUUCAAGUCAGAUGUGAAAGCCCUGGGCUUAACCUAGGAGGUGCAUUUGAUACUGAUGGACUUGAGAUCGAGAGAGGAGAGUGGAAUUGCGAGUGUAGAGGUGAAAUUCGUAGAUAUUCGCAAGAACACCGGUGGCGAAGGCGACUCUCUGGCUCGAUACUGACGCUAAGGCGCGAAAGCGUGGGGAGCAAACAGG